UACGGGGGGGGCAAGCGUUGUUCGGAAUUACUGGGCGUAAAGGGCGCGUAGGCGGCCUUCUAAGUCGGACGUGAAAUCCCUCGGCUUAACCGAGGAACUGCGUCCGAUACUGAAAGGCUUGAAUCCGGGAGAGGGAUGUGGAAUUCCAGGUGUAGCGGUGGAAUGCGCAGAUAUCAGGAAGAACACCCGUGGCGAAGGCGGCUCUCUGGGACGGUACUGACGCUGAGACGCGAAAGCGUGGGGAGCGAACAGG
RNAcentral lists this ribosomal RNA (253 nucleotides) under uncultured bacterium. RNAcentral describes it as "partial 16S ribosomal RNA". It matches the Rfam family "Bacterial small subunit ribosomal RNA", at positions 524 to 776 of the family's 1533-position model. The record is from RNAcentral.